This 631-nucleotide ribosomal RNA is filed under the name uncultured bacterium. RNAcentral's name for it is "bacterial SSU rRNA". The stretch from base 1 to 542 matches the Rfam family "Bacterial small subunit ribosomal RNA", at positions 338 to 873 of the family's 1533-position model. The record is from RNAcentral.
CCUACGGGAGGCAGCAGUGGGGAAUUUUGGACAAUGGGCGAAAGCCUGAUCCAGCAAUGCCGCGUGAGUGAAGAAGGCCUUCGGGUUGUAAAGCUCUUUUGUCAGGGAAGAAACGGUGCGGGCUAAUAUCCUGCACUAAUGACGGUACCUGAAGAAUAAGCACCGGCUAACUACGUGCCAGCAGCCGCGGUAAUACGUAGGGUGCAAGCGUUAAUCGGAAUUACUGGGCGUAAAGCGUGCGCAGGCGGUUUUGUAAGUCUGUCGUGAAAUCCCCGGGCUCAACCUGGGAAUUGCGAUGGAGACUGCAAGGCUAGAAUCUGGCAGAGGGGGGUAGAAUUCCACGUGUAGCAGUGAAAUGCGUAGAGAUGUGGAGGAACACCGAUGGCGAAGGCAGCCCCCUGGGUCAAGAUUGACGCUCAUGCACGAAAGCGUGGGGAGCAAACAGGAUUAGAUACCCUGGUAGUCCACGCCCUAAACGAUGUCUACUAGUUGUCGGGUUUUUAAUUAACUUGGUAACGCAGCUACGACGUGAGUAGACCGCCGUCGGGNGGUACGGUCGCGAGAAGUUAAAACGUUAAAGUAAAGUUAGUACGGCGUGAGACGUGCCGACGGACGACGACGAGGGAGGAGG